Molecule: ribosomal RNA, 480 nt
Filed under: uncultured bacterium
Lineage: Bacteria
Description: partial 16S ribosomal RNA
Rfam family: Bacterial small subunit ribosomal RNA
Source: RNAcentral
GACGAACGCUGGCGGCGUGCUUAACACAUGCAAGUCGAACGAUGAAGAAAAGAAUUGAAGCUUCGGCAGAAAUUCAUUUCGGAUUAGUGGCAGACGGGUGAGUAACGCGUGAGCAACCUACCUCUUACAAAGGGAUAGCCUCGGGAAACCGGGAUUAAUACCAUAUAACAUUGCGACGAAGCAUUUCGAUGCAAUCAAAGCUACGGCGGUAAGAGAUGGGCUCGCGUCCCAUUAACCAGAUGGGGAGGUAACGGCUCACCAUAGUAACGAUGGGUAACCGGCCUGAGAGGGUGAACGGCCACACUGGAACUGAGACACGGUCCAGACUCCUACGGGAAGCAGCAGUGGGGAAUAUUGCACAAUGGAGGGAACUCUGAUGCAGCGACGCCGCGUGAGUGAUGAAGGAAUUCGUAUCGUAAAACUCUGUUCUAUGGGAAGAAAAGGACUGUACCAUAGGAGAAAGCUCCGGCUAAAUACGUG